AGUAGCUGACGAGUCCCGAAUAGGACGAAAUGCGCAUCCUGAAU
RNAcentral lists this non-coding RNA (44 nucleotides) under Trichobilharzia regenti. The record is from RNAcentral. Lineage: Eukaryota; Metazoa; Platyhelminthes; Trematoda; Strigeidida; Schistosomatidae.